RNAcentral lists this non-coding RNA (25 nucleotides) under Cricetulus griseus (Chinese hamster). Lineage: Eukaryota; Metazoa; Chordata; Mammalia; Rodentia; Cricetidae. The record is from RNAcentral.
UAGCAGAAUUGUUAACGACUUAAGA